Long non-coding RNA from Gallus gallus (chicken), 2737 nucleotides. Lineage: Eukaryota; Metazoa; Chordata; Aves; Galliformes; Phasianidae. The record is from Ensembl.
AACUUUCCAUGAGUUUGCUAGCAUGGAAGAUGAUAUUUCUUUGCCAGGGAAUGUACUGUGAUUAGCAGACAUCCUCAGGAAUGGAGAAUGGGUCUUAGUGUUGUAACCACUGCAGCUAAUUGCAGGCAAUCCAAACACAGUACCCACAGCAAGCUAUAUCAAAUGUGCAUGUUCUUUGUGCGUGGUGCUGCAAUGCAGAAAGCCUCCCAGCUCACCUCAGAGCAGUUGGCAGUAGCCAGUGACCUACUACUGGCUACCUUCAGUCAAAACUUAGUGGCUUGGCAGGAGUACAACUGAUGCUCAGUUGUAUGAAAAUGAUGUGCUAGGUACUCCCAAUCUUGGAAAUUUGUGUAAAUGUAUCUGAAGUGGCUCUACAUGUGUGGCAUGGAGCUAGCCCCACUGCUUCCAUAGCACCUAACAGCUGGGCCAAGGCUGCCUAAAACAGCUGGAAAUGCAACCACAUCAUUGACAAUAAAGAUUAUCUGUUAAAAUAAAUAUGAAUAUUAAUAAUUUGAUGGAGUGGCCUUCUUCAGAUUAAGAGCCAUUGGUGCUCUUAAUCUGAAGAAUCUUAAAAACUUGACCAGUAAAGAUAUUCUUCAGUACAAUAAUGCAUAAUCCCAUUUAGGAUAUACAACCUUUUUUUUUUUUUUUUGGCUGCUUCAUGUAGCAAGUAAAAGAAAAUUGUUUACAGGUUCAUCUUUUUUUUUUUCUCUAGACCAUAGUUGGUAUAAGGAGUUAGUAUUUUAGUGUCUAAAAUGAUUUGAUUAUAAAUAUUGCAAAAACCUAUGGUUCUGUAAUUCUACAGUGAUGCCUGAUAUUUCUUACUCCAGUCAUUUUCCCUAGAGAUAAAUAAUGAGGACUUAUAUACUCCUGCCAACUUUUAAAACUACAGGAUGUUUUGUAGAAGACAACGUGCAGGAUCCUGAGCAAUUUGCCUCUGAAGUCAGGGAGCAUCUUCGCAAUGGAAGUUUACUGUAGCUCAAACAGGACUCCAAGGCAGGCUAAUGAUAAUGUGCAGAUGAUGUUUGUGCCACACCAAUUUGCAAAUGAUUGUUGUCAGUAAGUUACUCAACUAUGAACUGUCAGCCUGUGGUGGUUCCCCCAGGUGGGUGGAAACUGAAAUUUAUACCAAAUAAUCAUGUUCACGUUGACAAAUAUAACGGAAUCAAUGAUGGCUGCAGUGCCCUUUCAAGACCAACCAACGCAAUAGAUUUAAGUAAUGUUCCCUAUCCCAACCUUUAAAAGUUGGCACGCUAGAAGGAUAAAGCACUCCAGAGCCUGGUACUAUAGGUACAGUCGCACAGUGCAGCUCCUGCUGUCUGACAAAAUGAAUACCACUUUCAUAACUAUGUUGGAUUCCUCUUUUCAAGCAAAAUUAAUAGAUGUGAUGUUUCCACGAAUGGCUUUGUGCUGACUAUAUGGAAAUAGCCAAGGGUGGUUUUAUAAAUAUUUUUUUAGAACUUGGGACAAGGCUUUCUCUCCCCAUUGUUCUUAACAGAAUUUGGCAGAGCUAAACCCACAUAAAAUAUUACUGAAAAUUCUCACGUUCCACAGCUGAGUUGUUACUGCAUAUUGGUCUCUGUAGUAUUUAAUUACUAAUUGAUCCACAUGGUGGAAAACAGAAUUAAAUAGAAUACUUUUUGUUCUUUUGAACUGAAUAUUGUAUCUCAGUGGCACUGACUAAAAUAAAUUUCCUUCUUAUAUCUUUCAUAGUUCUACAAAAAUAUCAUAAAAUGUUGUUGACCUCAUUUAUGGAUUUUCCCAGUAAGCCUAGAAAUACCUGCUGUAAUAUGGCACAGCAAUAAAAAGUAGGACUUUGAUGGACGGUGUUGUUUUCCUAUGGCAUCAAGUGUGAAAUCUUGAAGAAGAACAGAAGUUGUAAGAGUUUUAAUAUAUAUAACUAUUAAACUCUGAUUUCAUAUAAAAAUUCCUUUUCCAUUAUUGCCCUGAAGUGAAUAUUUAAUUGGCAGCCUGAUUUUCAGCAGGCAGCGAAGCAUACAGGUGAAUACAAAAAGGAAUUGCUUUCAUGCUGUUACCAACUACUGGUAUAUGAUUCCUCUCCAGGCUGACUCAUAUUUGCUUCAGCUGUCAGUGGAGUGUUCCUUCCUGUUUCCAGUGGCUAGCAAGCACCAAACCCACAGAUCUUUCUCUUCUGCUCCAGUCACCAGAGAAGCAGAUUGUUUCACAUGGACUGUGGUUUAUCAUCAUUUCAGCAAGUACUCGGUCUGUAAGACCCAUCACCAAUAUUUUCCCCUACAAUUCUUUUUAUCAGGUAAGAUAACUGCUACGGAGCUGUUCAAAAUGAAUUUUAUGGCAUUCUUGAUGGGUACUUCACCUCAUGUGCUAUUAGAACAAUGCACAAAAUGUUUUUAAGGAACCUAAGAGGAUAUAGGAUCUUAGAGUUACAUGGCUAUUGGAAAUGGGAUGCUAGAAUUGCAUAGAUAUUGGAAAUAGCACCUGAGGGUCAUUUCACUAACAUGCAUGGCAGAAAAGAAUAGUUGCUGACUCCUGGCUAAACAAAAGCAGAAAUAUUAUUCAGGAUGUUUGCUAUAUACAUCAUUGUCAACAGCAUCUAACAUACAAGAAAAACAGAUCCACCCUUAUCCUUGCUGUUCUCUGCCCUACUUCCUCACUGCUCUUCCCCAUCAUGUGGCUGAAUAGCAAGCACCCACCAUUGGAUGUCACGUAUGCACAGGGGCGGGAGGUGUUGCGUACCUCAGGUCAUGCAUUGGGACCC